RNAcentral lists this ribosomal RNA (3050 nucleotides) under Triticum aestivum (bread wheat). RNAcentral describes it as "partial small subunit ribosomal RNA". The record is from RNAcentral. Lineage: Eukaryota; Viridiplantae; Streptophyta; Magnoliopsida; Poales; Poaceae.
AGGAAAAGGAAAACGCGGAGGAAACGGAAAGCGUAUCCGGCGGGCGCGCGGGUGGGCGGCUAUAAACCACCCGCCCCGCCCCCGCCGAUUCCCCAAUCCCAAUCCCCACCCCGCCCACCGAUUCCCCAAUCUUCGUCCGGCGGAACCCUAGCCCGCUCCGGCGCGACCUCCACGCCGGGACGCCUCCCUCCCGUACGGCGGAAUCGGCGGCCCGCUCCCUCCCCGGCGCCAAGCACGCUCCGGAAGGUCGCCCCCGCCGCCCGGCGUCACCCCCGCCGUCCCCGUCCACACCGCCAGGAUCCGCGCCGCGCCGUCCGAGGGAUUCGACUCCGCGCCGCGCCGUCCGAGGGAUUCGACUCCGCGCCGUCGCCAAGGGACCCGCCGCCGCCGCCGUCCGCGUCGGAUCGGGCCCGAUCUGUAACUUCGCCCGCCGUCUGCGGCUCUCCCUGUACUAUUUGAUCGCUAGAUUGAUCGAUCUGUGAGAAGUCCUCCCCGGACCUCUCGCGAAUUGUGUGUUUGCAAAGCGAGAGGCCCGGAGAGAGGGGCAGACAGACUCCGAUUCAUCACCAUGGGUGUCUUGUAUUACAAAUAUAAGAGUGCAAAGGAAACUUACCCUGUGACGUUGCCCUACUCGUUUAUAUCCGUGCCUGAUCUCAAGCAGCUCAUCUUGUCGAGUAACCGGCACGGCACUGGCCGUAGCCGCGGCCGCGGCCCCCGCGAGGAUAUCGCCCUCUCCAACGCCCAGACCGGCGAAGAAUACGCAGAGGAUGCAAUGAUACCACAGAACGUAACUGUGCUUGUCCGCCGAACUGCCGGGCAAGAGUCGGAGAAUAUCGUCGUGGUCUCCUCGCGGAAAGUAAUAGAAGAUGGUUCUAUAGCUUCAAACAGAUCAGUGGUUACUGAAUCAGUCUCAAAAUCUUGUUCCUCCGCAGAAGUGAAAGAUGAAGAUGCUGCAAUCGCAGCUGUGAUUGAUGCGGCUGAGCUUAAAUGGGAAGAGCAGUCAUUUAAGAGAGGACAAGCUCCUGGAAGGUUUACAUCAGGACGCCAUAAUGGCCAUGGAUCAUCAGAGAGGGAGGCACCUCCACCCGGCUAUGUGUGCCGCAGCUGCGGGGUUGCAGGCCAUUUCAUUCAACAUUGCCCACAGGAAAACCAGACGCCUCCACCUGGCUAUACCUGCUACAGAUGCCGGAUUCCAGGGCAUUUUAUUCAGCAUUGCCCAACCAUUGGCGAUUCCAAAUUUGACAACUACAAAAUGUCUCGUCCAGUUGCCCCGGUCGUAUCUCCAAAUCCGGCUGAUGACAUUCUAUCUGCACUUGCCCCAGCUGCAUCUGCGAGUGUAGUUGAUGACUUGCCAGCAGAACUCCACUGCCAACUAUGUAAUAAGGUGAUGGCAGAUGCGGUGUUAACAAGCAAGUGCUGCUUUGUCAGUUUCUGUGAUAAAUGUAUUCGAGAUUACAUUAUUACACAAUCGAAGUGCAUUUGUGGAGUCAAGGUCCUUGCAGAUUCCCUCAUCCCCAACCCCACAGUUAGGAGCACAAUCAGCAAUUUGUUAGGUACAAGGACUUGCAGCACUGCCAGCGGUACAGGGAAGCACAGAAGUUCUUCAGGAAGCAACCCUGAUCCCAAAUCACAGAGCCACACCACCUCGGCUGCUUUGGAAAGGGACACAAAGCAAUGUAUGGACAACCAGCUAUCGGCAGCUUCUCCCGACGCCCGCCUCCAGGUCGCCACAGAAGGUGAUCAAGUUGACCGCCCUCAGAAGAAUUCUGAUCUGAAGAGCAACACUGAAGGCUCUGCAGGGCGUUCAGUAGAGAAAGCCGUACCUGGUGCUGACCUCCCCAAACUGAAGGAUGUGAGCGAAUCAACUUUAAAGAACGGUACUAUUUCAGGGAGCUUGGAACCAAAAGUUGCUAGGCCUGAUCAGUUGAAGAAGAAGCGGAAGAAGGCAGACUCAUCUAAGGCUGUUCAUCCAAACAAUGCUGACUAUGGUUACAACGUUCCAUUUGACCCUGCAUAUUGUAACCCUUUCAAUGGUGCAUAUCCCAUGGGUCCAUUUGGUGUACCUGAUCCAUACAUGUACGGCUCAAUGGGCAUGCCCUAUGGUGGUUUCCCGAUGGGUCCAUUUGGUAUGAAUCCCUACGGCAAUAUUCCGCCGCAGGCUCUUGCCAUGCAAGGCUAUCCGCCAAACUAUCAAAGCUGGGAAAACCAGGCCGCGCUACACCGUGAUGCCGAAGCUGCUGCACGCUCAAGGCAGGUCUCCCAGGGGAACGCUGAAGCUGCUGCACGUUCAAGGCAGACCGAGAGGCCAAAUGACUCCGGUGCUUGGCCCAGGCCAUCAGAUCGCAACCAGCGCAUGGGCUCUCCUCAAGGCAGAGAGUUGAGGGACAGGCCCCAGUCAAGACCUGAACCAUCAGAGCGCAACCAGCGUUUGGGUUCUCCUCGCGGCAGAGAGUCCAGAGACAGGUCCCGGUCUAGAUCUAAACCAUCAGAGCGCAGCCAGCGCUCGGUUUCUCCUCGCCGCAGAGAGUCGAGGGACAGGUCCCGGUCAAGACCGGCAAGGAGUAGUAGGGACCAUGGGCGUUCCGACAGAGGUUCCAGUGACUACCACGAGGAUCACCAUGACAGGAAGAGAAUGCGUGUCUCUUCUACCGUUGAUGGUGAUACAGAGAGCAGCCAGAGGUCCAGACACAGUUCUAGGAGCAGCCUCAGGCGCGACGACGCAAGCGACGAUGAGCAGAAUUUCAAGAGGAAGUGGGGACGAUGAUCACCGGUCGCCAUGGAUGGAUGCAAGGUUCUGAAUAAAGAUGGAGGACUUGUUGCAGCAUUGCUGAUGUCCAGUGCUUUGCUGAUGAGACUUGUUUUACUAGUGAUUGUAUAUGUCUCGGAAAGCAGAGGAUAAUUCCUCUUGCAGAAUGUUAAACCAUUAUCAUACCAGAGAUUUGUAAUAUAUAUCUGAGAGUUCCCAGAUCUCUUCCUCUGUAAUGGAAUGUUAUUACCAAGAUAAAUGAAAUUAUCAUCAGCUACAUAUCGAGUUGUUAUUAUAUGCAUUU